GGCCGAAUAAAACGUGGAUUGCCCUGAUUCACAUAGUAUAACAAUCAAUAGUAAAGGGCAAUCAAUUUCUUCUUAAAUCUUAGAGAGGAUUGAAGCUGAGAGUGAGAAAAGCGUAUGUUUUAGUUUAAAGAACAAGGGAGUGAAGAAUCAACAUCAAAAAAAUACGAGGAAGACAAAGAAGGCAAAACGAACCAUAAAAUUGCAGACUCCCAAAGGAAGGAGACGCAAAUUGACAUCAAUGGUACAAUAUAUAGGAGAAGAAACCUGACAACGACGUCGAGAAUCUAAUAGAGGCUUCUCAGUAGAUAUGGUGGUGAGGAUUAACGACAGUGGGCCAAUGAAUGUGUGUCGCCAUGUGAGACAAAGUUCAUUACAUAUUCGCUGGAUCCAAUUUCCGUAGAAACGUUAAUGGGUUGCGAUCAAAGUUAUGGGCCUUAAGGAACCGAAGCCUAUAGCAAGCAAUCGAGCUCGAAAGCGAAGGAGUCAAGGCCCCGGAGAUCGCGGAGCAGUUACGGAGAUCACGAAGUCGACUUACUAUAAAGAAAGGAGGAGAGACAUGAAGAAUGACACGUUGAAAACCCUAGAGAGAACUACACACUAACAUCGAACUUGUUUCCUCCCGAUCUUAGACUCUUUUCUUUACGGUUCUCGUUUAUAU
This is a long non-coding RNA of Brassica oleracea var. oleracea, 658 nucleotides long. RefSeq lists it as uncharacterized. Lineage: Eukaryota; Viridiplantae; Streptophyta; Magnoliopsida; Brassicales; Brassicaceae. The transcript has 3 exons. The record is from RefSeq and is a predicted model, not a curated record.